RNAcentral lists this ribosomal RNA (253 nucleotides) under uncultured bacterium. RNAcentral describes it as "partial 16S ribosomal RNA". It matches the Rfam family "Bacterial small subunit ribosomal RNA", at positions 524 to 776 of the family's 1533-position model. The record is from RNAcentral.
UACGUAGGGGCGCAAGCGUUGUCCGGAAUUAUUGGGCGUAAAGAGCUCGUAGGCGGCUUGUCACGUCGGGUGUGAAAGCCCGGGGCUUAACCCCGGGUCUGCAUUCGAUACGGGCUAGCUAGAGUGUGGUAGGGGAGAUCGAAUUCCUGGUGUAGCGGUGAAAUGCGCAGAUAUCAGGAGGAACACCGGUGGCGAAGGCGGAUCUCUGGGCCAUUACUGACGCUGAGGAGCGAAAGCGUGGGGAGCGAACAGG